RNAcentral lists this transfer RNA (72 nucleotides) under Chloroflexi bacterium RBG_13_52_14. Its description in RNAcentral is "tRNA-Thr". It matches the Rfam family "tRNA". From Rfam's summary of the family: Transfer RNA (tRNA) molecules are approximately 80 nucleotides in length. Their secondary structure includes four short double-helical elements and three loops (D, anti-codon, and T loops). Lineage: Bacteria; Bacillati; Chloroflexota. The record is from RNAcentral. RNAcentral also lists the same sequence under 3 other names.
GCCCACAUAGCUCAGCGGUAGAGCACCUUCUUGGUAAGAAGGGGGUCACCAGUUCAAAUCUGGUUGUGGGCU